AUGGAUUUCCAUCACUGUUUACGAAACAAACUUGGUACUUCACUUCCUGGAAUGAAAAUGCCAAUAUUAAGAAAGGCAGACGGAAAUUAUGCAGGGCUAAAGUAUUUUGGACAGUUUCUGAGAAAGUUUGCAAAUUUGGUAAUGAAGGAUGGGUGGGUUUUGAAGAUUGGAUUUAGGGCAACGAAGAAAUUAGAGCAUGAAUGA
Non-coding RNA from Vicia faba (fava bean), 204 nucleotides. The record is from the annotation of a GenBank genome assembly. NCBI's taxonomy places the organism in Eukaryota, Viridiplantae, Streptophyta, Magnoliopsida, Fabales, Fabaceae.